UACGUAGGGUGCAAGCGUUAAUCGGAAUUACUGGGCGUAAAGCGUGCGCAGGCGGCUUUGCAAGACAGAUGUGAAAUCCCCGGGCUUAACCUGGGAACUGCAUUUGUGACUGCAAGGCUAGAGUACGGCAGAGGGGGAUGGAAUUCCGCGUGUAGCAGUGAAAUGCGUAGAUAUGCGGAGGAACAUCGAUGGCGAAGGCAAUCCCCUGGGCCUGUACUGACGCUCAUGCACGAAAGCGUGGGGAGCAAACAGG
Molecule: ribosomal RNA, 253 nt
Filed under: uncultured bacterium
Lineage: Bacteria
Description: partial 16S ribosomal RNA
Rfam family: Bacterial small subunit ribosomal RNA
Source: RNAcentral